UUUAUGAAGAAACAUAUAAAGUAAUCUCCUGCCCAGUGAAUCUAUUUAAACGGCCGCGGUAUCCUAACCGUGCAAAGGUAGCAUAAUAACUUGCCUAUUAAUUGUAGGCUAGAAUGAACGGGGUAACGAAAUAAGACCUUUCUUCUAUAGAAUCAUAAAAACUAAUAUUUAAGUGAAGAAGCUUAAAUACUAUUAAAGGACAAGAAGACCCUAUAGAGCUUUAAUUUAUAAAUAUAUAAUAUUUUACAUUUAGGUUGGGGCAACCAAGGAAUAAAUCAUCCUUUAAUAAAUAAGAUAAACAUAUCUAUAUAAUGAUCCUAAAUUAGAUCACCGAAUCAAGCUACCUUAGGGAUAACAGGCUAAUCCUAUUAUAGAGUCCUUAUCAACAAUAGGGAUUGGCACCUCGAUGUUGGCUUAGAAUAUCUCUAUGACGCAGUAGUCAUAUAAAGAAAGUUUGUUCAACUUAUAAUAUUC
Molecule: ribosomal RNA, 474 nt
Filed under: Fridericia heliota
Lineage: Eukaryota; Metazoa; Annelida; Clitellata; Enchytraeida; Enchytraeidae
Description: partial 16S ribosomal RNA
Rfam family: Bacterial large subunit ribosomal RNA
Source: RNAcentral